This 76-nucleotide transfer RNA is filed under the name Bacteriovorax sp. RNAcentral's name for it is "tRNA-Ala". It matches the Rfam family "tRNA". Rfam says of the family: Transfer RNA (tRNA) molecules are approximately 80 nucleotides in length. Their secondary structure includes four short double-helical elements and three loops (D, anti-codon, and T loops). The record is from RNAcentral. Lineage: Bacteria; Pseudomonadati; Bdellovibrionota; Bacteriovoracia; Bacteriovoracales; Bacteriovoracaceae.
GGGCUCUUAGCUCAGUUGGUAGAGCGCAACGCUGGCAGUGUUGAGGUGUGCGGUUCGAUCCCGCAAGGGUCCACCA